ACUCGUAGCGCCUGUCGCGUCGAAGUGGAAAGCCCACUGCUUAACGGUGAGUCUGCUCCGGUACGAGCAGGCUAGAGUAUGGCAGGAGAGACUAGAAUUCCCUGGUGUAGCGGUGGAAUGCGCAGAUAUCAGGAGGAACACCGGUGGGCGAAGGCAGGUCUCUGAGCCAUUACUGACGCUGAGGAGCGAAAGCGUGGAGAGCGAACAGGAUUAGAUACCCUGGUAGUGCACGCCGUAAACGUUGGGCGCUAGGUGUGGGGACUGUUUCCACGGUCUCCGUGCCGGAGCUAACGCAUUAAGCGCCCCGCCUGGGGAGUACGGCCGCAAGGCUAAAACUCAAAGGAAUUGACGGGGGCCCGCACAAGCGGCGGAGCAUGCGGCUUAAUUCGAUGCAACGCGAAGAACCUUACCAGGGCUUGACAUGCACGGUGCACCUCUAGAGAUAGAGGGUCCUUUGGGGUCGUGCACAGGUGGUGCAUGGUUGUCGUCAGCUCGUGUCGUGAGAUGUUGGGUUAAGUCCCGCAACGAGCGCAACCCUCGUCCUGUAUU
This 549-nucleotide ribosomal RNA is filed under the name uncultured bacterium. RNAcentral's name for it is "bacterial SSU rRNA". It matches the Rfam family "Bacterial small subunit ribosomal RNA", at positions 567 to 1116 of the family's 1533-position model. The record is from RNAcentral.